CCUACGGGAGGCAGCAGUGGGGGAUAUUGCACAAUGGGGGGAACCCUGAUGCAGCGACGCCGCGUGGGUGAAGGAGUGCUUCGGCAUGUAAAGCCCUAUCGGCAGGGAAGAAGCAAGACGGUACCUGACUAAGAAGCACCGGCAAACUACGUGCAAGCAGCCGCGGUAAUGCGGAGGGGGCGAGCGUUAUCCGGAUUCACUGGGUGUAAAGGGAGCGUAGACGGCCAUGCAAGCCAGGGGUGAAAGCCCGGGGCCCAACCCCGGGACUGCCGUUGAAACUGGGGGGCUGGAGUGCGGGUGGGGCAGGCGGAAUGCCUGGUGUAGCGGUGAAAUGCAUAGAUAUCAGGAAGAACCCCGACGGCGAAGGCAGCCUGCUAAGCCGCGACUGACGUUGAGGCUCGAAAGCGUGGGGAGCGAACAGGAUUAGAUACCCUAGUAGUC
Molecule: ribosomal RNA, 441 nt
Filed under: uncultured bacterium
Lineage: Bacteria
Description: partial 16S ribosomal RNA
Rfam family: Bacterial small subunit ribosomal RNA
Source: RNAcentral